GCUGGGGUGUAGCUCAGUGGUAGAGCACUUGCCUAGUGUGCAUGAGGCCCUGGGUUCAACCCCCAGCACCAGUU
This 74-nucleotide transfer RNA is filed under the name Marmota monax (woodchuck). Its description in RNAcentral is "tRNA.Thr". The stretch from base 6 to 70 matches the Rfam family "tRNA". Rfam says of the family: Transfer RNA (tRNA) molecules are approximately 80 nucleotides in length. Their secondary structure includes four short double-helical elements and three loops (D, anti-codon, and T loops). The record is from RNAcentral. Lineage: Eukaryota; Metazoa; Chordata; Mammalia; Rodentia; Sciuridae.